GGACUACUAGGGUUUCUAAUCCGGAUCGCUCCCCACGCUUUCGCUCCUCAGUGUCAGAACCGGUCCAGGAAGCCGCCUUCGCCACUGGUGUUCCUCCCGAUAUCUACGCAUUCCACCACUACACCGGGAAUUCCGCUUCCCCCUACCGGCCUCGAGCCCGCCAGUAUCGAAUGACCCCUCCCAGUUGAGCCGGGAGAUUUCACAUCCGACUUGACGUGGCCACCUACAAGCCUUUUACGCCCAAUAAAUCCGGACAACGCUCGCCCCCUACGUAUUACCGCGGCUGCUGGCAC
Molecule: ribosomal RNA, 293 nt
Filed under: uncultured bacterium
Lineage: Bacteria
Description: partial 16S ribosomal RNA
Source: RNAcentral